Small nuclear RNA from Heterocephalus glaber (naked mole-rat), 107 nucleotides. The record is from Ensembl. NCBI's taxonomy places the organism in Eukaryota, Metazoa, Chordata, Mammalia, Rodentia, Bathyergidae.
GUGUUCACUUCAGCAGCGCAUAUACUAAAACUGGAAUGAUACAGAGAAGAUUAGCAUGGCCUCUGCUCAAGGGUGACACACAUAUUCGUGAAGUGGUUCAUAGUUUU